Phasianus colchicus (ring-necked pheasant) is the source of this 491-nucleotide long non-coding RNA. RefSeq lists it as uncharacterized. Lineage: Eukaryota; Metazoa; Chordata; Aves; Galliformes; Phasianidae. The record is from RefSeq and is a predicted model, not a curated record.
GUAGUAACUUUUUCAGAGCAGAGAGAUGACAUUUUAUUCUUGCUUUUCCCACAAGGAUGCAUAUUUUUAAGCUUCCUCUUCUUCUUUAACUCCUCCCUCUCCCAGUUUUGAUUAAGCAGGAACACCCCAAGGGCUAGAGGAAAGGAUGAGGCAUUUUCCAUGUUCCCAGUCAGAAUGGAAAAUGUUUAUGCAAUCUUUUUGCAAUGCAUGGCAAAAUUCUCCUUGUCUUUAUGGAAAAGAACUCGGAACUGCGUCUAUGACCUCAGUACAAGAAUCUUUUUUCAUUCCUAUGCUGUGUCACCAGGCAACAAUUCCAAUAUGAUGUUGAUGAUGCUGAUUUUCACCCCCCAAGGAAGUCCUGCAGAACAACAGCAGCUGGAGCUGUGCACUGGAUAAUGUCUUUCCAAAAGCUCUUCAACAAGAGUGCACACAGAAUUGGAGAGAGCAGUGUUAAUUGCCCUGCUUCUGAUAAAUAUGCCUCCUCUCAAGUA